CUGUGUGGGCUGCACACCAGUCGGUGCUGCCUGGUGCUGGCUGAGUGAGCCCUCCUCAUGGGCUAUUUCCCAUUAUCCCACCAGCACACUGUGGGAUGGGAAUGGCAUUCCCAGGGCUUUGACAGUGGCCACAAUCAUUGUUCAUGUCUCUGCCUACUCUCAAACCGAGCCUUGCUUUGUCUUUGCCUCUGCGGGGCCCUGACAUGCUAAAAUUUUCACUGAGUUUCUCUUACUCAGGUAGGAAUGGGAAAAGCAGCAAAACCCAUGCAGAAGCCAGAGUUCAUUAGCACCACUGCCCUGCAGCUCAGCCUCUCCUCCUCCUCUUCUCCUGGGCACCUGUAAUUCCACCCUGGAAUCUGCUGCAUCCCGACAUCCUCGACGCUUCGGUGCUGCCGGGCAUUUCCAGCAACAAGGCUUUGGGUGAGUGGCUCCAUCAGAGUUUUAUUCUGCCACAGGCUUCAAUUUUUGUGAGCUGCUUUAUCCUCACAAGGAUAAAACUCGACUCUGACCUCUAAUGAUCCUCCUAAUGAUAUGAGGGAAAAGGAACGACGACGAGCUGCCGAGGCUUAGCCCAUCUUCUGGAUUUUUUGGAGAUCCCUGAGGAGCAGGAGGCUGAGCGAGGAGGAAUGUGGACUCCUUUUGUUUUCUACUUUGCCUGUUUAUUAAGCCUUUUUUUCCUUAAAAGCAAAGAAGAAAAAGAGAAGCACCAACGUGCAUCUCAAGCACUGAAGUGCUGUGCACCAGGAAAUGACAAAAAUGUAUUUAUUACAUUUAUUACUUGCCCGGGUACCCAAGUUUUUUAAGCACACGGAGAGUUCCUGGGCACAUAUCAAAGCAAAAUGAUCACAGUGGAGCAGGAAGGGCAAAGAUGAAGAGGGGAGGCAGGGAGGAGGAUAUGGUUUGCUUUCACCCCUUUCAUCCGGGUCUCGUGAAGGUCCUUUGGUCACCCAGAAAUCGCCCUGUGUGGCUUGAAUGGGCACCAUCCUUUAAAAACCACGUUCCCUGGUCAAGGUGAUGUGCCUUUUGGGAGGGUUUUGUGACACAGCAGACCCCUCUUGCAGCCCACAGUGCUCCAGUUGGCCUCCUAUUUAAUGUGGCUCUCACUGCUGAUCGAUGGAUUCAGCAACAUCCACCCUCAUGCAGAACUCGUGGGAUCGUGCUCUGAUUCCAGAGCAGGAGCUUGGAAUGAAAGGGCAUGUGCCAAAACAUAUGUACAAACACACCUCUGCAGAGGCUGCUUUUGUAGUCACCACUUGGGGUGGAACUUUAAUUUCAGGUUAGGGGUAGGAAUGUUGUUCUUUCUGUAAGACACAGCCCAAGGUCCAAGAACAUUUCUUUAAUCACUUUUUUCCACCAUGAGUGAGGUAUUUGCUGUUAAUUCUUUAUCCCAUUUGUGCCUCCCUGCACUCAUUAACUCUUUGGUGGGACAUUAGGGAAUCACACAGUAAAACAGGCAUUCUGGAAGGGAUGGGAUUCUGACUGGGAGCAGUUCCUGGCUGAACCUUGAAGUCAGGAGGGGAAGAUUUUGAUUGUAUUGGCAGCACUAAUGUGCACUGCAAUUUGGGAGGUGUAAACCCUAGGGUUUGUAAUCACUGGGUGCAUAAAAACUGCAUUUCAUAUAUUAUUCUCAUAUUUAACCUUUUUUUUUUAUUCCUUGUUUCUUUACGUGCCAAUUUUUUACAAGCCUGAGAUUCCCAUGAAUAGAGAAUAAAGUUGGAAUCUGCGCUGGCAAAAUAAACAGGUCAGGAUGAGACAGCUUAGGUGGUUAGUGGAGAUUAGGUUUUCUGGGAUCCACCUGUAGCUUGCACCUAAAAAUGAGUGUGGAUGAAAAAAUAAACCUAUUAGAGGUGUUUCCUGUGUUGUUCUGUGAUGUCUUUUAUCUGUCGUGUGGCUUCAGUCACCAAAAUGCUUCUGUGGUCUUCCCUCAGAUUUGUAAAUCUGAAUUUGAGUGGUUUGAAUGACAACUGAAAUUACUCAAGGAAGAUACCUGGUUUUCUCUGUCCACCACCCCUUUUCAUUUAAUUAAUUAAUUUUAAAAACUCUGAUUGUCUCAGGGCAUGUCCCAAAGUUCUUUCUUGUUAGACCAAACCCAAAGUCAUUAAUUUUUUUUUUCUUUUUUUUUAAUAAAUGGAGUAUCAGACUGUGACCACGAGCCAGAUGAAAAGCAGAAUGUGGGAAGACAGGGCCGGAAAUUACUAAUUGCCCUCCAGUUAAAGGACUCAGCAGGAAUGGGCCCAGCGAUGGAUAAAUGGCUAUUCUUGAGUGAUUAUAGCUCUGGAUGCUGAACACAAAGUUCCUGCUGAAAGUUUCAUCAAAACCUUCCCGUGAAACCUGUUUGUUUUGAAAUAUUGGCAUUUUGUGAUGAAUAACAAUGUCACUGGGAAAAGUCCUGUUGGAAUAUUUGCAGUGGAGUCCCCUGAGCCUGUGUAUUAAUCCAGUCUCCUACACUAGGAUUUGGAUGGAUGUCAUAGAAUCUACAGGAUGGGUGAGGUUGGAAAGGACCACUGGAGGUCAUCUAGCCCAGCCUCUCUGCAGGAUCCAUUCAGGAUUGUGUCUGACAACUUCUGAGUAGCUCCAGAGAAGGAGACUCCACAACCUCACUGGGGAGCCUGUUCCCAGAUGCCUCCCAUCCCUGUAGGACCUCCUUAGGAUGGUGACAACUCCCAGUGACAACCCUUUCUGCUGGGGGUGGUGACCUGUGCCUUUGCCUGUGGGACCCAGAAGGACACUGGCACGGUGAGCACCACACAUGCACCAAUGAAACACCACUGUUUUCCUUCGA
Long non-coding RNA from Pseudopipra pipra, 2782 nucleotides. RefSeq lists it as uncharacterized. The record is from RefSeq and is a predicted model, not a curated record. NCBI's taxonomy places the organism in Eukaryota, Metazoa, Chordata, Aves, Passeriformes, Pipridae. The transcript has 2 exons.